AAGUCGAGCGAACGGACGAGAAGCUUGCUUCUCUGAUGUUAGCGGCGGACGGGUGAGUAACACGUGGAUAACCUACCUAUAAGACUGGGAUAACUUCGGGAAACCGGAGCUAAUACCGGAUGAUAUUUUGAACCGCAUGGUUCAAAAGUGAAAGACGGUCUUGCUGUCACUUAUAGAUGGAUCCGCGCUGCAUUAGCUAGUUGGUAAGGUAACGGCUUACCAAGGCAACGAUGCAUAGCCGACCUGAGAGGGUGAUCGGCCACACUGGAACUGAGACACGGUCCAGACUCCUACGGGAGGCAGCAGUAGGGAAUCUUCCGCAAUGGGCGAAAGCCUGACGGAGCAACGCCGCGUGAGUGAUGAAGGUCUUCGGAUCGUAAAACUCUGUUACUAGGGAAGAACAUAUGUGUAAGUAACUGUGCACAUCUUGACGGUACCUAAUCAGAAAGCCACGGCUAACUACGUGCCAGCAGCCGCGGUAAUACGUAGGUGGCAAGCGUUAUCCGGAAUUAUUGGGCGUAAAGCGCGCGUAGGCGGUUUUUUAAGUCUGAUGUGAAAGCCCACGGCUCAACCGUGGAGGGUCAUUGGAAACUGGAAAACUUGAGUGCAGAAGAGGAAAGUGGAAUUCCAUGUGUAGCGGUGAAAUGCGCAGAGAUAUGGAGGAACACCAGUGGCGAAGGCGACUUUCUGGUCUGUAACUGACGCUGAUGUGCGAAAGCG
Molecule: ribosomal RNA, 720 nt
Filed under: uncultured Staphylococcus sp.
Lineage: Bacteria; Bacillati; Bacillota; Bacilli; Caryophanales; Staphylococcaceae
Description: bacterial SSU rRNA
Rfam family: Bacterial small subunit ribosomal RNA
Source: RNAcentral